Molecule: non-coding RNA, 102 nt
Organism: Aspergillus wentii DTO 134E9
Lineage: Eukaryota; Fungi; Ascomycota; Eurotiomycetes; Eurotiales; Aspergillaceae
Source: the annotation of a RefSeq genome assembly
AGUCGCGUGGUCUAAUGGUUAUGAUAUCUCGUUCACAGCUAAAGUGAGCCUCUUCUACUGGAAGAUCCGAGAUGGUUCCCGGUUCGAUCCCGGGCGCGACUA